RNAcentral lists this ribosomal RNA (468 nucleotides) under uncultured bacterium. RNAcentral describes it as "partial 16S ribosomal RNA". It matches the Rfam family "Bacterial small subunit ribosomal RNA", at positions 28 to 507 of the family's 1533-position model. The record is from RNAcentral.
GACGAACGCUGGCGGCGUGCUUAACACAUGCAAGUCGAACGGAAAGGCCCUGCUUUUGUGGGGUGCUCGAGUGGCGAACGGGUGAGUAACACGUGAGUAACCUGCCCUUGACUUUGGGAUAACUUCAGGAAACUGGGGCUAAUACCGGAUAGGAGCUCCUGCUGCAUGGUGGGGGUUGGAAAGUUUCGGCGGUUGGGGAUGGACUCGCGGCUUAUCAGCUUGUUGGUGGGGUAGUGGCUUACCAAGGCUUUGACGGGUAGCCGGCCUGAGAGGGUGACCGGCGACAGUGGGAGUGAGAGAGGCCCGAGACGCAUACGGGGGGCAGAGGGGGGAAAUAUGGCAGAAUGGGGGAGAGCUGUAGGCAGAACCCCCGGGUGGGGAAGAACGGCUUGGGGUUUGAAACCCGUUUUCGCCUGUGAAGAAGGGUGAGUGACGGGAAGGAAUAAAAAGGCCCCGGCAAACUACGUG